Molecule: ribosomal RNA, 500 nt
Filed under: uncultured bacterium
Lineage: Bacteria
Description: partial 16S ribosomal RNA
Rfam family: Bacterial small subunit ribosomal RNA
Source: RNAcentral
AUUGAACGCUGGCGGCAGGCCUAACACAUGCAAGUCGAGCGGAUGAAGAGAGCUUGCUCUCUGAUUCAGCGGCGGACGGGUGAGUAAUGCCUAGGAAUCUGCCUGGUAGUGGGGGACAACGUUUCGAAAGGAACGCUAAUACCGCAUACGUCCUACGGGAGAAAGCAGGGGACCUUCGGGCCUUGCGCUCUCAGAUGAGCCUAGGUCUGAUUAGCUAGUUGGUGAGGUAAUGGCUCACCUAGGCGACGAUCCGUAACUGGUCUGAGAGGAUGAUCAGUCACACUGGAACUGAGACACGGUCCAGACUCCUACGGGAGGCAGCAGUGGGGAAUAUUGGACAAUGGGCGAAAGCCUGAUCCAGCCAUGCCGCGUGUGUGAAGAAGGUCUUCGGAUUGUAAAGCACUUUAAGUUGGGAGGAAGGGCAGUAAGUUAAUACCUUGCUGUUUUGACGUUACCGACAGAAUAAGCACCGGCUAACUCUGUGCCAGCAGCCGCGGUAA